RNAcentral lists this ribosomal RNA (1236 nucleotides) under Escherichia coli. RNAcentral describes it as "partial 23S ribosomal RNA". It matches the Rfam family "Bacterial large subunit ribosomal RNA", at positions 612 to 1833 of the family's 2925-position model. Lineage: Bacteria; Pseudomonadati; Pseudomonadota; Gammaproteobacteria; Enterobacterales; Enterobacteriaceae. The record is from RNAcentral.
AUAAUGGGUCAGCGACUUAUAUUCUGUAGCAAGGUUAACCGAAUAGGGGAGCCGAAGGGAAACCGAGUCUUAACUGGGCGUUAAGUUGCAGGGUAUAGACCCGAAACCCGGUGAUCUAGCCAUGGGCAGGUUGAAGGUUGGGUAACACUAACUGGAGGACCGAACCGACUAAUGUUGAAAAAUUAGCGGAUGACUUGUGGCUGGGGGUGAAAGGCCAAUCAAACCGGGAGAUAGCUGGUUCUCCCCGAAAGCUAUUUAGGUAGCGCCUCGUGAAUUCAUCUCCGGGGGUAGAGCACUGUUUCGGCAAGGGGGUCAUCCCGACUUACCAACCCGAUGCAAACUGCGAAUACCGGAGAAUGUUAUCACGGGAGACACACGGCGGGUGCUAACGUCCGUCGUGAAGAGGGAAACAACCCAGACCGCCAGCUAAGGUCCCAAAGUCAUGGUUAAGUGGGAAACGAUGUGGGAAGGCCCAGACAGCCAGGAUGUUGGCUUAGAAGCAGCCAUCAUUUAAAGAAAGCGUAAUAGCUCACUGGUCGAGUCGGCCUGCGCGGAAGAUGUAACGGGGCUAAACCAUGCACCGAAGCUGCGGCAGCGACGCUGAUGCGUUGUUGGGUAGGGGAGCGUUCUGUAAGCCUGCGAAGGUGUGCUGUGAGGCAUGCUGGAGGUAUCAGAAGUGCGAAUGCUGACAUAAGUAACGAUAAAGCGGGUGAAAAGCCCGCUCGCCGGAAGACCAAGGGUUCCUGUCCAACGUUAAUCGGGGCAGGGUGAGUCGACCCCUAAGGCGAGGCCGAAAGGCGUAGUCGAUGGGAAACAGGUUAAUAUUCCUGUACUUGGUGUUACUGCGAAGGGGGGACGGAGAAGGCUAUGUUGGCCGGGCGACGGUUGUCCCGGUUUAAGCGUGUAGGCUGGUUUUCCAGGCAAAUCCGGAAAAUCAAGGCUGAGGCGUGAUGACGAGGCACUACGGUGCUGAAGCAACAAAUGCCCUGCUUCCAGGAAAAGCCUCUAAGCAUCAGGUAACAUCAAAUCGUACCCCAAACCGACACAGGUGGUCAGGUAGAGAAUACCAAGGCGCUUGAGAGAACUCGGGUGAAGGAACUAGGCAAAAUGGUGCCGUAACUUCGGGAGAAGGCACGCUGAUAUGUAGGUGAAGUCCCUCGCGGAUGGAGCUGAAAUCAGUCGAAGAUACCAGCUGGCUGCAACUGUUUAUUAAAAACACAGCACUGUGCAAACACG